Long non-coding RNA from Chroicocephalus ridibundus (black-headed gull), 929 nucleotides. RefSeq lists it as uncharacterized. Lineage: Eukaryota; Metazoa; Chordata; Aves; Charadriiformes; Laridae. The record is from RefSeq and is a predicted model, not a curated record. The transcript is spliced from 2 exons.
CCAAGCCGGCCGCGGGGGCGGGACCGCGGCUGCCGGUCUCCGCUGCCGCCGAGAACCCUCCCGCCAACGGCACCGGCACCGGCCCCGGCGGGACCCCGAGGGACGCCGGCCGGGCCGGGCCGGGCCGGGCGAGCUCGCCAGGGCCGAGGUGAGGCUGCCGGGUGAGAGCGGCCCUCGCUCGGCCCGACCCCCGCCCUGUCCUGUCCUGCCCCGGCCUCCGCCCGGGAAAGCCCUGGGGUCCUUCCCUAGCGCCCUCCGGAGAUCAGCCUAGCUGCCCGGCGGGGCCAGCAGCGCACGGUGAGCAGAUCUUUCGGGAGAGGAGUAGUGCUUUGCGUACGGGAGCGGGGGAGGAACCGUCCCACCCCGGCGGGAGCUGCCCACCCCUUCCAGGCGCCAUCAAACCGCCAGGAAUAACCAUCCCAGAUAGUGCAAUUCCUGCCCACCCGUUGAAUCAGGAUACUUAAACCCUAAGUUUUGGGGAGGAAAAUGGGGAGUCUUCCAACGAUACAGCUGGCCUGUAGGAGAUUCUUCUCCCCCUUGUCCAGGACGCCGUGCAAGGCAGCUUCCCAGGGACUGAGCGGCCUCACCUGAGAGAGGGGGUGUGCCCCGACAAAAGGAGGGACAAGGAGUGCAAUGGGGUGGAGACCUAAGAUGUGUCGACUUGAAGCAUGAGCUGCACUUGCAUGGAAUGGACAAGCUGUGCAGAACUUGAAUGUGGACCAGAAGUUCGGGGUUUUUUUCAUUCUUGUGAUCUUUCUAUGUUUGUUUUGAUAAGGAUAAUUUGUUGUUGUUGUUGUUUGAGUUGGCUUGUUUGGUUUUUUUUCUUGAAUUACAGUAGUGCACUCUUCCAUCGUAUCCAUAAAACUUGCAAUAGUGUCGUAUCGGACCUGUGAGUGAAGUCCAAAUAAAUUGUGAAUUUGAACCUCUCA